UUGCUAUUUCUUUGCUAUGGAGCUGAUGUUGACAUUCUUGCAUCAGACUAUUGUACAGCAAUUUCCUCUCUCGUAGGUUUUUAUGGGUCAUUUGGCAGUACUUGUUUUCUAACUGAAUGGAGCUGCAGACAGGAAAAGCUGCAGCACUGAUUUUAGUUUCUUCUGGAGAUGGACAGAUGCUCCUCACUUAGCGCCUCCAAGUGUGAAAGUAACAGAAAGAAAAAAAUCCUAUUUUAAUAAUCUUCAGACUUAUGCUCACACUGACCGAAUGCAGUUUUACCUGAGGCUAUAAAGUACCUUCCCAUCUGGCUGGACUCGCAGCAUGACGUUGUCUGUGGUGGUGUCGUGGAUGAAGGAGCGCUUGGAGUGCACAAAGAACAUGUCAGGGACCCAGAUCUUCUUCACCAGCCGGCCGUCAAACGUCAUGCUUUGGUUGUUGGUGCUGGGGAAGGACAGCCUCUCGUCUUUCCAGUAGUGUCUCAGGUAAAGUGUCAUGGUGAAGUCCUGCAACAAACAGCCUGUGCAGAGUGCCAGCAUCAGUCCUCCAUGCCCCUGAAAUACUACUUUAGCAUCAGCAUGAAGAUUCAGGACAGGCUGACAAAGCCUUAUACUGGUCCCCAGCACACAGCAGGGGUGACACAGCUGCUAAUGAGCCAAAGGCAGAUUCUGGAGAAACUUCUGCCCUCUGAAAACUCCUGCCUUCUUAUGACCACACACUUCCCAGUGAGGUGGGUAACUCGUUGAAAGGGGUAACCUUUCCUUUGAUGUGAGGGGAC
This is a long non-coding RNA of Cygnus olor (mute swan), 776 nucleotides long. RefSeq lists it as uncharacterized. The transcript is spliced from 3 exons. The record is from RefSeq and is a predicted model, not a curated record. Lineage: Eukaryota; Metazoa; Chordata; Aves; Anseriformes; Anatidae.